RNAcentral lists this ribosomal RNA (301 nucleotides) under uncultured bacterium. RNAcentral describes it as "partial 16S ribosomal RNA". It matches the Rfam family "Bacterial small subunit ribosomal RNA", at positions 509 to 809 of the family's 1533-position model. The record is from RNAcentral.
CAGCAGCCGCGGGAAUACGGAGGGUGCAAGCGUUAUCCGGAUUUAUUGGGUUUAAAGGGUCCGUAGGCGGAUCUGUAAGUCAGUGGUGAAAUCUCACAGCUUAACUGUGAAACUGCCAUUGAUACUGCAGGUCUUGAGUAAAUUUGAAGUGGCUGGAAUAAGUAGUGUAGCGGUGAAAUGCAUAGAUAUUACUUAGAACACCAAUUGCGAAGGCAGGUCACUAAGAUUUAACUGACGCUGAUGGACGAAAGCGUGGGGAGCGAACAGGAUUAGAUACCCCAGUAGUCCCUGUCUCUUAUAA